Molecule: unclassified non-coding RNA, 412 nt
Filed under: soil metagenome
Description: partial contains 5.8S ribosomal RNA, internal transcribed spacer 2, and large subunit ribosomal RNA
Rfam family: 5.8S ribosomal RNA (bases 1-122)
Source: RNAcentral
GAUGAAGAACGUAGCGAAAUGCGAUACUUGGUGUGAAUUGCAGAAUCCCGUGAACCAUCGAGUCUUUGAACGCAAGUUGCGCCCGAAGCCGUCAGGCCGAGGGCACGCCUGCCUGGGCGUCACACGCCGUUGCCCCCCCGCGCCCCGCACCCAACUCUUUGGGAGCGACCGCGGGGCGGGCUGAUGAUGGCCUCCCGUGCGCUCCGCCGCGCGGUUGGCCCAAAUACCGAGUCCCCGGCGACGUGCGCCACGACGAUCGGUGGUUGAGAGACCUCUGUCGCAAGUCGUGCGCGCCCGUCGCGUCACGCGGGCUCGCAUAGCGCCUCGCGCCGCACCCGGUGCGGAGCUUUCAACGCGACCCCAGGUCAGGCGGGGUUACCCGCGGAAUUUAAGCAUAUCAAUAAGCGGAGGA